Molecule: long non-coding RNA, 243 nt
Filed under: Gorilla gorilla gorilla (western lowland gorilla)
Lineage: Eukaryota; Metazoa; Chordata; Mammalia; Primates; Hominidae
Description: lncRNA (ENSGGOG00000044585.1)
Source: RNAcentral
GGAGGACCUAAUAAAUCAUGGCAUUUGAAGAACAUCCUGAGUUCAAAAGUUUUCUUUAUUCUGACAUAUGGAAAACAGCUUUCAACUACUAGUGAAUAAUCGAUUUUUCAUUAGAAUUUUAUUAACAUAUCUCUUGCAGUUAUGGAUUGAAUUGUAUCCUCUCCAAAUUCAUAUGUGGAAGCGCUAACUCCCAGUGUAACUAUAUUUGGGAUGGUGACUUCAAGGAGGUGAUGAAGGUUAAAU